Molecule: long non-coding RNA, 526 nt
Organism: Pecten maximus
Lineage: Eukaryota; Metazoa; Mollusca; Bivalvia; Pectinida; Pectinidae
Exons: 4
Source: RefSeq, a predicted model, not a curated record
UCGCUGACUAAUUGUAGUAAUGAAUACCAUAAAGGUGUGGGGAGACACCUCCAUCAUUGAUGGUCUCUGUACAGGUGUGUCACCUACAUCACUGAUGGUCUCUGUACAGGUGUGUCACCUACAUCACUGAUGGUCUCUGUACAGGUGUCACCUACAUCACUGAUGAUCUCUGUACAGGUGUGGGGAGACACCUACAUCAUUGAUGGUGUCUGUACAGGUGGGUCACCUACAUCACUGAUGGUCUCUGUACAGGUGUGGGGAGACACCUACAUCACUGAUGAUCUCUGUACAGGUGUGGGGAGACACCUACAUCACUGAUGAUCUCUGUACAGGUGUGGGGAGACACCUACAUCAUUGAUGGUGUCUGUACAGGUGUGUCACCUACAUCAUUGAUGGUGUCUGUACAGGUGUGUCACCUACAUCACUGAUGGUCUCUGUACAGGUGUGUCACCUACAUCACUGAUGAUCUCUGUACAGGUGUGGGGAGACACCUACAUCAUUGAUGGUCUCUGUACAGGUGUGUCAC